RNAcentral lists this non-coding RNA (24 nucleotides) under Cricetulus griseus (Chinese hamster). Lineage: Eukaryota; Metazoa; Chordata; Mammalia; Rodentia; Cricetidae. The record is from RNAcentral.
GAUUUACAUGGAAGCAGAAUCUUG